This 1107-nucleotide ribosomal RNA is filed under the name Enterobacter asburiae. RNAcentral's name for it is "partial 23S ribosomal RNA". It matches the Rfam family "Bacterial large subunit ribosomal RNA", at positions 419 to 1531 of the family's 2925-position model. The record is from RNAcentral. Lineage: Bacteria; Pseudomonadati; Pseudomonadota; Gammaproteobacteria; Enterobacterales; Enterobacteriaceae.
GGGACACGUGGUAUCCUGUCUGAAUAUGGGGGGACCAUCCUCCAAGGCUAAAUACUCCUGACUGACCGAUAGUGAACCAGUACCGUGAGGGAAAGGCGAAAAGAACCCCGGCGAGGGGAGUGAAAAAGAACCUGAAACCGUGUACGUACAAGCAGUGGGAGCACCCUUGUGGUGUGACUGCGUACCUUUUGUAUAAUGGGUCAGCGACUUAUAUUCUGUAGCAAGGUUAACCGUAUAGGGGAGCCGAAGGGAAACCGAGUCUUAACUGGGCGUUAAGUUGCAGGGUAUAGACCCGAAACCCGGUGAUCUAGCCAUGGGCAGGUUGAAGGUUGGGUAACACUAACUGGAGGACCGAACCGACUAAUGUUGAAAAAUUAGCGGAUGACUUGUGGCUGGGGGUGAAAGGCCAAUCAAACCGGGAGAUAGCUGGUUCUCCCCGAAAGCUAUUUAGGUAGCGCCUCGUGAACUCAUCUUCGGGGGUAGAGCACUGUUUCGGCUAGGGGGCCAUCCCGGCUUACCAACCCGAUGCAAACUACGAAUACCGAAGAAUGUUAUCACGGGAGACACACGGCGGGUGCUAACGUCCGUCGUGAAGAGGGAAACAACCCAGACCGCCAGCUAAGGUCCCAAAGUCAUGGUUAAGUGGGAAACGAUGUGGGAAGGCACAGACAGCCAGGAUGUUGGCUUAGAAGCAGCCAUCAUUUAAAGAAAGCGUAAUAGCUCACUGGUCGAGUCGGCCUGCGCGGAAGAUGUAACGGGGCUAAACCAUGCACCGAAGCUGCGGCAGCGACGCUUAGGCGUUGUUGGGUAGGGGAGCGUUCUGUAAGCCGUUGAAGGUGUGCUGUGAGGCAUGCUGGAGGUAUCAGAAGUGCGAAUGCUGACAUAAGUAACGAUAAAGCGGGUGAAAAGCCCGCUCGCCGGAAGACCAAGGGUUCCUGUCCAACGUUAAUCGGGGCAGGGUGAGUCGACCCCUAAGGCGAGGCCGAAAGGCGUAGUCGAUGGGAAACAGGUUAAUAUUCCUGUACUUGGUGUUACUGCGAAGGGGGGACGGAGAAGGCUAUGUUAGCCGGGCGACGGUUGUCCCGGUUUAAGCAUGUAGGCGGAGGU